AUUGAACGCUGGCGGCAGGCCUAACACAUGCAAGUCGAGCGGAUGAAGGGAGCUUGCUCCUGGAUUCAGCGGCGGACGGGUGAGUAAUGCCUAGGAAUCUGCCUGGUAGUGGGGGAUAACGUCCGGAAACGGGCGCUAAUACCGCAUACGUCCUGAGGGAGAAAGUGGGGGAUCUUCGGACCUCACGCUAUCAGAUGAGCCUAGGUCGGAUUGGCUAGUUGGUGGGGUAAAGGCCUACCAAGGCGACGAUCCGUAACUGGUCUGAGAUGAUGAUCAGUCACACUGGAACUGAGACACGGUCCAGACUCCUACGGGAGGCAGCAGUGGGGAAUAUUGGACAAUGGGCGAAAGCCUGAUCCAGCCAUGCCGCGUGUGUGAAGAAGGUCUUCGGAUUGUAAAGCACUUUAAGUUGGGAGGAAGGGCAGUAAGUUAAUACCUUGCUGUUUUGACGUUACCAACAGAAUAAGCACCGGCUAACUUCGUG
Molecule: ribosomal RNA, 484 nt
Filed under: uncultured bacterium
Lineage: Bacteria
Description: partial 16S ribosomal RNA
Rfam family: Bacterial small subunit ribosomal RNA
Source: RNAcentral